AUUGAACGCUGGCGGCAUGCCUUACACAUGCAAGUCGAACGGCAGCACGGGAGCAAUCCUGGUGGCGAGUGGCGAACGGGUGAGUAAAGUAUCGGAACGUGCCCAGUCGUGGGGGAUAACGUAGCGAAAGUUACGCUAAUACCGCAUACGAUCUAUGGAUGAAAGCGGGGGAUCGCAAGACCUCGCGCGAUUGGAGCGGCUGAUACCAGAUUAGGUAGUUGGUGGGGUAAAGGCUCACCAAGCCGACGAUCUGUAGCUGGUCUGAGAGGACGACCAGCCACACUGGGAAUGAGACACGGCCCAGACUCCGACGGGAGGCAGCAGUGGGGAAUUUUGGACAAUGGGCGCAAGCCUGAUCCAGCCAUGCCGCGUGCAGGAUGAAGGCCUUCGGGUUGUAAACUGCUUUUGUACGGAACGAAAAGGUUUGACUUAAUACGUUGGACUCAUGACGGUACCGUAAGAAUAAGCACCGGCUAACUACGUGCCAGCCGCCGCCGUAA
This 500-nucleotide ribosomal RNA is filed under the name uncultured bacterium. RNAcentral's name for it is "partial 16S ribosomal RNA". It matches the Rfam family "Bacterial small subunit ribosomal RNA", at positions 30 to 523 of the family's 1533-position model. The record is from RNAcentral.